This 556-nucleotide ribosomal RNA is filed under the name uncultured bacterium. RNAcentral's name for it is "bacterial SSU rRNA". It matches the Rfam family "Bacterial small subunit ribosomal RNA", at positions 338 to 915 of the family's 1533-position model. The record is from RNAcentral.
CCUACGGGAGGCAGCAGUGAGGAAUUUUCCGCAAUGGGCGAAAGCCUGACGGAGCAAUACCGCGUGAGGGAUGAAGGAUUUUGGUCUGUAAACCUCUUUUCUCAAGAAAGAAGUUCUGACGGUACUUGAGGAAUAAGCAUCGGCUAACUCCGUGCCAGCAGCCGCGGUAAUACGGGGGAUGCAAGCGUUAUCCGGAAUGAUUGGGCGUAAAGCGCCUGUAGGUUGUUUAUUAAGUCCGUUGUUAAAGCCUAGGGCUCAACCCUAGAAAAGCAAUGGAAACUAGUAGACUAGAGUAUGGCAGGGGUAGAGGGAAUUUCUAGUGUAGCGGUGAAAUGCGUAGAUAUUAGAAAGAACACCGGUGGCGAAAGCGCUCUACUGGACCAUUACUGACACUCAGAGGCGAAAGCUAGGGUAGCAAAGGGAUUAGAUACCCCUGUAGUCCUAGCCGUAAACGAUGGAUACUAGAUGUUGUGCAUUAUGUACAGUAUCGUAGCUAACGCGUUAAGUAUCCCGCCUGGGGAGUACGCUCGCAGGGUGAAACUCAAAGGAAUUGACG